Long non-coding RNA from Daphnia magna, 304 nucleotides. RefSeq lists it as uncharacterized. The transcript is spliced from 2 exons. Lineage: Eukaryota; Metazoa; Arthropoda; Branchiopoda; Diplostraca; Daphniidae. The record is from RefSeq and is a predicted model, not a curated record.
UUUUUUUUCAGAGAGAUGGCGCAUCGGUCAUGAAGAUAGGGAAUAAUCGGGCCGCGAAGUUAUUUUUCAAGGCGAGGCUUUGUGCGUCGCCCGGCCACGGACAGGUUUUUCCGCAGGCCGUGUGAGCUCCAUUGUUUCGAUCAUGGUCGUCUACAUAAAAAGGGGCAACUUCGAUUUCAACUUUAGCAGGUAGCAUGGAGCAGUUCAGUUAGAAUCUUAGUUGGCGAUUUAUCUGAUAUCAGAACAUAGGAUGUCUUGAUGCCAACCAAGUGUCAUUGGAAAGAAUGCAAAAAGAUGUUAAAGG